GCCUACGGGUGGCAGCAGGCGCGAAAACUUUCCAAUGCGCUAACGCGUGAGAGGGGAAUCUUGAGUGGUCAUGCUUUUGCAUGACCUUUUCUCCAGUCUAGAUAGCUGGGGGAAUAAGGGGUGGGCAAGACGGGUGCCAGCCGCCGCGGUAAUACCCGCGCCCCGAGUGGUGAUCACGAUUAUUGGGCCUAAAGCGUCCGUAGCCGGCCAGACCAGUCCCUGGUGAAAUCCUGCAGCUAACUGUAGGGCGUGCUGGGGAUACUAUCCGGCUCGGGACCGGGAAAAGCCUGGGGUAUUCCACGUGUAGGGGUUAAAUCCUUUAAUCCGUGGAGGACCACCUGUGGCGAAGGCGCCAGGCUGGAACGGGUCCGACGGUGAGGGACGAAAGCUGGGGGAGCGAACGGGAUUAGAUACCCGUGUAGUC
Molecule: ribosomal RNA, 424 nt
Filed under: Salmonella enterica subsp. enterica
Lineage: Bacteria; Pseudomonadati; Pseudomonadota; Gammaproteobacteria; Enterobacterales; Enterobacteriaceae
Description: bacterial SSU rRNA
Rfam family: Archaeal small subunit ribosomal RNA
Source: RNAcentral